UUACAAUCACUACAAAAUACCAAAAAUAUUACUUUUGCUGUCUUUACUUUUGUUGCCGCUACCACCACUAUCAUAUUACUUUGCUACUAAACACUUUGCUGCAGAUACUAAGUUUCCAGGUGUGGUUGAAUUGACAACUCAGCUGCUAAUACUUGAGAAUAUUCUUUGGCUCCCCUUGUGUCGAAUCAAUAAAUUUGGGUUGAAUACUCUACCCUCGAAAGCUGUUGCCAUCCCCUAUACUUGUGGGUUAUCAAGACAAAUUUCUGGCACUGUUGCCGAGGAGCAUAGCUCUAUUCUUUGAGUCACUUGGGAUUUAUAUCUGUUGGACACUAUGAAGAACUUGAGAGAUCCAAAAACCAAGAUCUAUCCCUCAACUACGAGGGGAGGUAAGGAACUGCCAUCUAGCUCUGCACUUGAUUCACCUUCUGUUAUGAGUAAGUUUGCGACACCUACACCUGCUUCUGCUAUUUGUUCUGAUAUGUCGCAUGUUAUUGAUGAUGCCACUUCUGCUAUGCAUGAUACUUAUGAUGAAGCUGCUUCUAUGUCUGAUACUACUGUGCCCCUUGGUGAUUUUCUAGAAGACCAAAUUGCUAGGGCUAGAGAAAGAGAAAUUAUUGAAUCUGAAUAUGAUGAUUAAAAUAUGCCUGUUAUUCCUAGAGGUUAUCUUUUUGAUAAAGAUGCUUCUUUAGCUAUUUUAGCUUGCAGAGAUAGAUAUGAGCUUAAGAGGUUAUUAAUUAAAUGGAACAAAGAAUCACUUAGAGAUAGAAUGAGACCCGACCCUGAUUUUGCUACUUCACCUACAUGUGUUCCUGAUAAAGAUUAUGAAUUCUCUGUUGAUCCUGAUAUAAUUACUUUGGUUGAAUCUGAUCCGUUUUAUGGCUAUGAAUCUGAAACUGUUGUGGCACAUCUUACUAAGUUAAAUGAUAUAGCUGCCCUGUUCAUUGAUAAUGAGAGAUCACAUUACCUCUAUUUACUCAAAAUAUUCCCGUUCUCAUUAAAGGGUGAUGCUAAGAUAUGGUUUAAUUCUCUUGAUCCUGGUUGUGUGCGUAGUCCCCGGGAUAUGAUUUAUUACUUCUCUGCUAAAUAUUUCCCUGCUCAUAAGAAACAAGCUGCUUUAACGGAAAUAUACAACUUUGUGCAAAUCAAAGAAGAGAGUCUCCCACAAGCUUGGGGGAGGCUUCUCAAGCUACUUAAUGCUUUGCCUGACCAUCCUCUUAAGAAACCUGAAAUACUUGAUAUCUUUUAUAAUGGACUAACCGAUGCUUCUAGAGAUUACCUGGAUAGUUGUGCUGGUUCUCUUUUCAGAGAAAGAACACCGGAUGUAGCUAAAAUUCUAUUGAAUAAUAUGUUGACAAAUGAAAAUAAUUAGGCACCUCCUGAGCCAGCUCCUGCUCCAAUUACUAAGCCUAUUCCUAAACCAACUCCGAAGAAGAGAGGUGUUUUAUUUCUCAGUUGAAGACGUUAAGAAUUUACCUCCUAUUGAAGACGUUAAGAAUUUACCUCCUAUUGAAGAAAUACAUGGUCUUAAUUCACCGCCUGUUGAAGAGACAUAUGAUCUCAAUUAUUUAUUUACUAAAGAACCUCCUGAUCCCGAUAUCCCAACAUAGGCAGUAAAGGUAAAUUCUCUCUAUAGAUAUGAUAAAGCUGAAGUCCCUCCUACUAAAAUUGCUACUCAGUGCUUGGAUGAGUUUGAUAACUUUAUGUAUAAGCAAGACGACUUCAAUGCUUAUUUUGGUAGACUAUUAAAAGAAAAUGCUUAUAUGAUUAGACGCUUGGGUGAUUAUAUUGCUGAUAUUAAGGGUGAACUUAAACUUAUUAGCAAACAUGCUUCUAUGGUCACCACCCAAGUAGAACAAGUACUUAAAGCUCAAAAAGAAGUGCUUAAUGAAAUGAAUAGUAAGAAAAAUGAUUAUGCUAUUAGAUUGGCUACUAGAACUGGUAGAAUGACUCAGGAACCUUUGUAUCCUGAAGGCCACCCUAAGAGAAUCGAGCAAGAUUCUUAGAGAAAUAAUAUUGAUGUUCCUAGUUCUUCUAAAAAUAAGAAGAAAAAAAUGAUAGAACUGUGCAAACUUCUAGUGAACCUAUUGUUGAACCACCUGAUAAUCCAAAUGAUAUAUCUAUGUCUGAUGCUGAAACACAAUUUGGUAAUGAGCCUGAACCUAAUGAAAAUAUUAAUGCUGAUGUUCAUGAUGAUGCUCAACCUAGUAAUGACAAUGAUGUAGAAAUUGAACCUGCUGUUGAUCUUGAUAACCCACAAUCAAAGAAUCAACGUUAUGAUAAAAGAGACUUUGUUGCUAGGAAAUAUGAUAAAGAAAGGGAACCUUGGGUUCAGAAACCCAUGCCUUUUCCUCCGAAACCAUCCAAGAAAAAGGAUUAUGAGGAUUUUGAGUGCUUUGCUGAAAUGAUUAGGCCUAUCUUUUUGCGUAUGAGAUUACCUGAUGUGCUCAAAAUGAAUCCUUAAGCUAAAUAUAUGAAAGAUAUCAUUACUAAUAAAAUAAAGAUACCGGAAGCUGAGAUUUCCACCAUGCUUGCUAAUUAUACUUUUAAGGGUGGAAUACCAAAGAAACUUGGAGACCCCGGAGUACCUACUAUACCUUGCUCCAUUAAAAGAAAUUAUAUUAAAACUGCUUUAUGUGAUCUUGGAGCUGGUGUUAGUGUUAUGCCUCUCUCUUUAUAUCGUAGACUUGACUUGAAUACGUUGACACCUACUAAAAUAUCUUUGCAAAUGGCUGAUAAAUCAACUGCUAUACCUGCUGGUGUUUGUGAGGAUGUGCCUGUUGUGGUUGCAAACGUUACUAUUUUAACGGACUUUGUUAUACUUGAUAUUCCCGAGGAUGAUAGUAUGUCUAUUAUUCUUGGAAGACCUUUUCUUAAUACUGCAGGGGCUGUUAUUGAUUACAACAAAGGCAAUGUCACUUUUCAUGUUAAUGGUAAUGAGCAUACGGUACACUUUCCGAGGAAACAACCUCAAGUUCAUAGUAUCAACUCUAUUGGAAAAAUUCCAUCGAUUAUAUUUGGAGGUUUUGAAUUUCCUCUUCCUACUGUCAAGAAAAAAUAUGAUAUUCUUAUUAUAGGGGAUGUGCAUAUCCCCGUUGAGGUAACUUAGUGUUAUUCAAAAUUUCUCAGGUUUCCUGAUUAUCGGAAUGAGUUUGUUAACAAGACUUGAUCAACCUUGUUAGCGGAUUCUUUUUGAUGAGCAUGAGAUGGAUGAAACUAGAAGCACAAACUUCUGUACCCUAUUUAUACUUUCUGUUAUUUAUAUUAAAUAAAGUAAAAAUAGUAUUUUUCUGUCUGUUAUCUGAUUAUCCGUGCAAUAUAAAAAUAUCCCGAAAAUAAAAGUCCUCAGAAUGCCAUGCCAAUUUAAUAUGAUUUUUUCGGGAAUAUUUGAGGAUUUACUGUGCAAAAAUUACCGCGGGAGGAGCUGCCACUUGGCCAUGAGGGUGGUGGGCGCCCCCCCUAUAGGGUGCGCCCCCUGCUUCGUGGGCCCAUGAUGGCCCUCCUCCACUUAUUCCAGCACCCAUCUUCUUCCUCUGUCUCACACAAACCCGAAAAACCAACUCAAGCACGAGUUCCAACCACUUUUGCUGUGAUUUUCGAUCUCCUUGCUCAAAGCACCUCUCACAAAACUGCUUGGGGAGAUUGUUCCUUGGUAUGUGACUCCUCCAUUGGUCCAAUUAGUUUUUGUUCUAGUGCUUUAUUCAUUGCAAAUUUGUGCUGCAUAGGUGACCAUGUUCUUGAGCUUGCAUGUCAAAUUUAUAUGGUUCCAAGUAGUUCUAAUGCUUGAUAUAGGCUCUAGGCACUUGUAGGAGUAGUUGCUAUCAGUUUAAUUGAGUUUGGUUCACUUUUAUUUCGAAUUUAAUAAAAAUUUCAGAAUUUUUUCAGAGAAAAACAAUAUGUUUAGGAAGAUGUUCCAAGGUGGUUCCUCUAAGAAGCAAGGACCCAGAAUUGCUAUGCGCGAUGCUGACGAGGAUCCACCAAGAGACGCUCUAGUACGGCCUUGUGAAUGGCCAUCGGAAAAUUUUAUGGACCAUGCGGGAAUUAAAGAAGAAUUCAAAUCAUAUUUGCGCAAUGCCGAUCUUGAGGAUUUUGAGGCUAACAAAUGCCCCCAGUGUCAUGAUCUCACAAGUUCAUUUGUGAGGAGGUUUGAGUAUUCAUCUUCGCGUAAUUCUCCUUCAGUCAUGUUUGAUCUUUAUGACAAAUCUUAUACCAUGGACCUAGAGGAUUUCAGUUCUGCUUGCGAACUUCCAUCAUGGGGCAGUAUUAGGGAUCCUCCUAAAUCUGAAUUUAGAAACUUUCUUGCUAGUAUUACUGUGGGGGAAUCCAGAGAUAUAACGCAGGCUACCAUAGGGAGCAUUCAUUUUCCUGCUAUACAUUAUUUUGCUCUUUUCAUUGGUAGAUGCAUAAAUGCUAAGGAUGAAGCAUGUCACAUGUGUGUCCCUGAUCUUAGCAUUCUUAGGAGUGUUGUGUUAGGAGACCAAUCUUAUCAUAUGGGAGCCAUUGUAGCUCGUAGGUUGCAUCAUAAUAGACAUGAUGGAGAUUUCUUUGGAGGAAUUUAUGCAACUCGCUUAGCUCAUUUUCUUGGAAUAGACAUUCAUGAGGGUGAUAUAGAGUUGCCUCCUGCAUAUUUAGAUUAUAACUCUAUGGCUUCACACCAGUUUGUUGAGAGGCCUGAAUCACCUCUCUUAUACCGCUUAAUUUUUGAUAAACGACGUGUUUUCCGUAUUACUCUCCCUGCUCAUGCCUUCUUUGAUUCACAGACAAAAGGAAGAUAUGUUAUUACCAGAGAGGAGGCAGAAGAGUACGAGAGGAGAGCGGAGGCAGCUCGACUCCACGCCGCAGCUCAGCAGGCGAUAACCGCUGCACAUCAGUAUGAUCCCAACUAUUCCUCCUCGUCACAGUACGACCCCAACAACUAUUAUUAUGGAUAUCCGCCAGGCCAGCCAUGGCCAUAGACCAACUUAGGCCAAAAGCCUAAGCUUGGGGGAGUACGUAUUUCUCACCGACAUUACAUUUAUGCUCACACACACUCAUUGCUAGAUGUCGAUGCUCAUACUUUUUCAUUGUAAUAUCCAUACAAGUUUAUUUUCUUUUUCCUUCUUUCUUCUUGUGUGUUUGCUUAACCUUAAGAAAAACCAAAAAAAAUAGUAGUAGUUUAUUUUUCUGUUGUAGUAGUAAUAAUUAAAAAAGAAAACCCAAAAAUAUUUCCCAUUCUUCUUUUGCUUGUUGGGAGCUUUCCCGUGUAAAUAGUUUUAUUUCUUUUCUUUUCUUUGGGGGUCAGUAGGAGAAGACCAUAAUUAAAUUGUUGAAGUGGCUCUUAUAUGCAUUAUUGAUUGAUUUAACCAAGAGCCCAUAUUGCCUUGUCUUCUCCUGUUUAUCGAAUGCUCGCAGAUUCCAGCUUAGUCCAAUGCAUGUGCACUCUUAUUAUUAUUCACACUAUUCGGUCGUGCAAGUGAAAGGCAAUUAUGAUGAUAUAUGAUGGACUGACCGAGAUAAGAAAAGCUGGUAUGAACUCGACCUCUUUUGUUUUUGUAAAUAUGAUGAGUCCCUCGUUCUUGAUUCAGCUUAUUAUGAAUAAACAUGUUUGCAAUGACAAUUAGAGAUCAGAGUUGCUUGUGCCAUGCUUGAUUAGCUAUGAGUUAUAAUGAUUUACCUUGUGUGCUAACAUGCUAUUAAAAUGGUUAUGAUGUGGUAUGAUGGGGUGGUAUCCUCCUUUGAAUGAUUUAAGUGACUUGACUUGGCACAUGUUCACUCAUGUAGUUGAAACAAAAUCAACAUAGCCUUCACGAUAUUUAUGUUCAUGGUGGAUUAUAUCCUACUCAUGCUUGCAUCCAAUGUUUAUUAAUUUUAAUGCAUGUACAUGGCUGUUGUCGCUCUCUAGUUGGUCGCUUCCCAGUCUUUUGCUAGCCUUCACCUGUACUAAGCAGGAAUACUGCUUGUGCAUCCAAUCCCUUGAACCCCAAAGUUAUUCUAGAUGAGUCCACUAUACCUUCCUAUAUGCGGUAUCUACCGGCCGUUCCAAGUAAAUUUGUAUGUGCCAAACUCUAAACCUUCAAAUAAACAUUCUGUUUUGUAUGCUCGAAUAGCUCAUGUAUCAACAAAGGCUGUCCUUAUCUUCCGUGUUAGGCGGGUUAUUCUUAAGACGAGUGGACUCCACUCCUCACUCACGAGAAAAUGGCUGGUCACCGGGAUACCCAGUCACAUGCUUUAUGCAAACUAAAUCCAAAUUAAUUGCAAACAAAACUCCCCCUAGGACCUGAUGUAUGUUGGAGGCACUCGUUGUUUCGAGCAAGCCAUGGAUUGAUGCUUGUUCGUGAAGGGGGAGUAUAAACUUUACCAUUAUGUUUGGGAACCGCCUAUAAUGUGUUUAGCAUGGAAGACAUCGCCAUCUCUUAGUUGUUAUGUUGACAAUGAAAGUAUACCGCUCAAAAUACAAUUUAUCUCUAUUGCAAAACCGAGCUCUGGCACCUCUACAAAUCCCUGCUUCCCUCUGCGAAGGGCCUAUCCAUUUACUUUUAUGAUGAGUCAUCACCCUCUUAUUAAAAAGCACUAGCUGGAGAGCACAACCGUCAUUUGCAUUCAUCACUAUUAAUUUAUAUUGGGUAUGACUAUGAUUGGAUCUCUUUUACCAUGAAUUACAAUGUCUAGUCAGUCCUUGAUCUUUAAAGGUGCUCUGCAUUUAUGUUUUGCGGUCUCGGAAAGGGCUAGCGAGAUACCAUCUUGUUAUAUCAUAUUAUGAUUGUUUUGAGAAAGUGUUGUCAUCCGAGAUUUAUUAUUAUGACUUGCUAGUUGAUUAUGCUAUUGAUACGAGUAAUUAUGAGACCUGAGAAUUAUUGCAAAUGUGGUUAGUUAUGAUGAAAACUUGAAUGCUGGCUUGACAUAGUUACAACAACAAGAGCAAACAGAGUUUGUAAAAGUUUUUCUUUCUUUCUUUCAGUUUGUCAACUGAAUUGCUUGAGGACAAGCAAGGGUUUAAGCUUGGGGGAGUUGAUACGUCUCCGUCGUAUCUACUUUUCCAAACACGUUUGCCCUUGUUUUGGACUCUAUCUUGUAUGAUUUGAAUGGAACUAACCUGGACUGACGCGGUUUUCAGCAGAAUUACCAUGAUGUUGUUUUAUGUGCAAAAAACAAAUAUUCUUGGAAUGACCUGAAACUCCACGGGAGGUCUUAGAAAAAACAAUAAAAAAUCCUCGCCAAAUAUGAAGACCAAGGGGCCCACACCCUUUCCACGAGGGUGGGGGCGCCCCCUAGGGCGUGCCCCCUACCUCGUGGGCCCCCUGUUGACCCUCCGACGCCAACUCCAACUCUAUAUAUUUGCUUUCGGAGAGAAAAAAAUAAGAGAGAAGAAAUCAUCGUGUUUUACGAUACGGAGCUCCGGAGAGGGGGAUUCGUCGCCGUCGUCAUCAUCAACCAUCCUCCAUCACCAAUUUCAUGAUGCCCACCGUCGUGCGUGAGUAAUUCCAUCGUAGGCUUGCUGGACGGUGAUGGGUUGGAUGAGAUUUAUCAUGUAAUCGAGUUAGUUUUUUUAGGGUUUGAUCCCUAGUAUCCACUAUGUUCUGAGAUUGAUGUUGCUAUGACUUUGCUAUGCUUAAUGCUUGUCACUAGGGCCCGAGUGCCAUGAUUUCAGAUCUGAACCUAUUAUGUUUGCAUUAAUAUAUGUGAGUUCUAGAUCCUAUCUUGCAAGUCUAUAGUCACCUACUAUGUGUUAUGAUCCGGCAACCCCGAAGUGACAAUAAUCGGGACCACUCCCGGUGAUGACCAUAGUUUGAGGAGUUCAUGUAUUCACUAUGUGCUAAUGCUUUGUUCUGGUUCUCUAUUAAAAGGAGGCCUUAAUAUCCCUAAGUUUCCAAUAGGACCCCGCUCCCACGGGAGGGUAGGACAAAAGAUGGCAUGCAAGUUCUUUUCCAUAAGCACGUAUGACUAUAUACGGAAUACAUGCCUACAUUACAUUGACGAAUUGGAGCUAGUUUUGUGUCACCCUAUGUUAUGACUGUUACAUGAUGAACCGCAUCUGGCAUAAUUAUCCAUCGCUGAUCGAGUGCCUACGAGUUUUCCAUAUACUGGUUUACGCUUAUUUACUUUCCCUCUGCUACUGUUACAAUCACUACAAAAUACCAAAAAUAUUACUUUUGCUGUCUUUACUUUUGUUGCCGCUACCACCACUAUCAUAUUACUUUGCUACUAAACACUUUGCUGCAGAUACUAAGUUUCCAGGUGUGGUUGAAUUGACAACUCAGCUGCUAAUACUUGAGAAUAUUCUUUGGCCCCCCUUGUGUCAAAUCAAUAAAUUUGGGUUGAAUACUCUACCCGCGGAAGCUGUUGCGAUCCCCUAUACUUGUGGGUUAUCAGGUCUCCGGUCCCGGCUGCUGCUGUUCCAGUGGUUACCGUCGCCGCGGCCGUAGAAUUUUGACCGGGCUGAGAGCCAGCCAUGUAGACCCCGGCUCGAUUUGGCGGCUCAAAGGGGUCCGGAAUACUGCUUCCAUCGGAACAGCCCCCAAGCCCGCCAUCAUGUAGUUGAUACAAUGAAUCUGCCUCACCUGUGGACGACUCGCCGUCAGAGUGGACAGCCGUCUCGCCGCUAUCCACAGAUCCUUCAGAAAGCUCCCCUCCAUGGAUGCAACCUACGAAGGCAUGCCUUACGGCUAGCUGAGCCCGGGCGGGUCUCGCACGCUGAGCCGUUUCGAUGAGGUCGGUGCAGACGUCCGACUCAGGGCCCGGCUCGCUGAUCCGGCCGACAAAGACAUGGAUUCCGCCGAAGGGGACCCGAUACCCGUACUCGAUCGAGACGGCCUCGGGGCCCCAGCCUGCGUCGUCGAUGUAGAGCUUGCCGCGACGACUCUUGGUCAUUCGGCCCACAUCGUAUCUCUUGAGCCCUUCGAAGGUGCCCUUCAAAAACUCAAAUCCACCAUGCGCUGGCCCCACGGUAGGCGCCAACUGUCCUGUAAUUUUCACGGCAGAUGUCCUAGUGAAAGGACUUAGUCGUGGAGCCAUCGCAACUAGGAAGCUUAAAGGGGUUAAUCAGGACAAAGGACACGAGAGGUUUAUACUGGUUCGGCCCCUUGCGGUGAAGGUAAAGCCUAGUCCAGUUGUUGUGGUAUUUCUAGGUUUCGAUGACCAAGGAGCGAAAUAUGAUAGCUUGGCUCUCGAUCGGAAGGUAAAGCCUAAGCCAUCGCCGGGUUGUCCCCUUAUAUACAAGGGUUGACGCCCUGCGGCCUAUAGAGUCCCGGCCGGCUCAUACAACGUGUCCGGCUCAGUGACGUAUUUUACAUGCCUUACUUUACAAGUCUUAUCAUACAUGGCGGUUUAUACUCAUAGGCCUUAAGCCGCCUCUGGGCUUCGGCCUACUACAACCUUAUCAUAAACUGUCACCUUGUAUAUUCUUCGGGCUUCCUUUAGUUAACCCGCCAUUGCUAUUGACCCGGCCCCUGCUGGGCGGGUCAUACCUGGUAGUUAUCCCCAACACUACUCAUAGCAUAACAUGACCACUAGCAUCAACAAUAAAUACCAUGCAAUAACAUAACGAUAAAACUACCAUGCGAGUAUUUAAUCAACUCGAUGCAAAGAAACAUGCAUAACGGCGGUACUCGGAACAGACGAUAGUCAUGCACUGAAGACCAUCACCAACAUGUACUACUACCAAACAUUGCCAAUAUUAAAGUAAUACUAUCAUGAAGAACAUAAUAACAGAGUGCAAGAAAACAUAGCAUCACGGUAAACACCGAUCCAUAAGCAUAACCGAAAUAAUGACAGCAGUAGCAAAACAAUCAAACAGUUAUUAAAGAUUCAAGUUGAAAACCAAUGCUUCUGCAUGACUAUCAUGCAAAUGGUGGUUGUGUCUUGCCUGUGUAUGAAGAAGGCUCUGGGGAGAAGUGCGGAAAGAUCGCGGAAGGAAUUGCCGAAAAGAUUCUCUCUCGAAGGGGGCUGAUUAGGGGCAAGGGCAAAAUGGGUCAUUUUCAGAAUGUUGAAACAUAGUGAAAAUGGUACCAAAAGUUUGGGCUCGACGAGACAAAGAAGUGGGCUUUGGAAUCACCUAAAUCGGAGUUGCGGUCGCGAAGAUACGAGAAGGGGAAGUCCAGGGACCAAUCUGUGAAAGUUUUCAUCACCAACAAGUCCCUGGGAGGAAAAACAGAUCGCGCACUUAGAGGAAUACGCCCCCAGGAAGGGAAAACGUACUUUCAGUCGUAGUAGAAUAAUAGUACAUUUUUGGAGAAGGGAAGACACAUUUCAAGAAAACCGUCUCCACUUAUCCACGUGGACCAGGGCGCUAGGCCACUGGCGCGUGGGUCCUAGUCGCAUGGGGAGGGGCUCGGGCGCUCGUCUCCU
RNAcentral lists this long non-coding RNA (10320 nucleotides) under Triticum aestivum (bread wheat). RNAcentral's name for it is "long non-coding RNA (TAES_LNC005967)". The record is from RNAcentral. Lineage: Eukaryota; Viridiplantae; Streptophyta; Magnoliopsida; Poales; Poaceae.